RNAcentral lists this ribosomal RNA (496 nucleotides) under uncultured bacterium. Its description in RNAcentral is "partial 16S ribosomal RNA". It matches the Rfam family "Bacterial small subunit ribosomal RNA", at positions 28 to 506 of the family's 1533-position model. The record is from RNAcentral.
GAUGAACGCUGGCGGCGUGCCUAAUACAUGCAAGUCGAGCGAACAGACGAGGAGCUUGCUCCUCUGACGUUAGCGGCGGACGGGUGAGUAACACGUGGAUAACCUACCUAUAAGACUGGGAUAACUUCGGGAAACCGGAGCUAAUACCGGAUAAUAUAUUGAACCGCAUGGUUCAAUAGUGAAAGACGGUUUUGCUGUCACUUAUAGAUGGAUCCGCGCCGCAUUAGCUAGUUGGUAAGGUAACGGCUUACCAAGGCAACGAUGCGUAGCCGACCUGAGAGGGUGAUCGGCCACACUGGAACUGAGACACGGUCCAGACGCCUACGGGAGGCAGCAGUAGGGAAUCUUCCGCAAUGGGCGAAAGCCUGACGGAGCAACGCCGCGUGAGUGAUGAAGGUCUUCGGAUCGUAAAACUCUGUUAUUAGGGAAGAACAAAUGUGUAAGUAACUAUGCACGUCUUGACGGUACCGAAUCAGAAAGCCACGGCUAACUACGU